This 468-nucleotide ribosomal RNA is filed under the name uncultured bacterium. Its description in RNAcentral is "partial 16S ribosomal RNA". It matches the Rfam family "Bacterial small subunit ribosomal RNA", at positions 28 to 507 of the family's 1533-position model. The record is from RNAcentral.
GACGAACGCUGGCGGCGUGCUUAACACAUGCAAGUCGAACGGAAAGGCCCUGCUUUUGUGGGGUGCUCGAGUGGCGAACGGGUGAGUAACACGUGAGUAACCUGCCCUUGACUUUGGGAUAACUUCAGGAAACUGGGGCUAAUACCGGAUAGGAGCUCCUGCUGCAUGGUGGGGGUUGGAAAGUUUCGGCGGUUGGGGAUGGACUCGCGGCUUAUCAGCUUGUUGGUGGGGUAGUGGCUUACCAAGGCUUUGACGGGUAGCCGGCCUGAGAGGGUGACCGGCGACAUUGGGCCUGAGAUACGGCCCAGACUCCUACGGGAGGCAGCAGUGGGGAAUAUUGCACAAUGGGCGGAAGCCUGAGGCAGCAACGCCGCGUGCGGGAUGACGGCCUUCGGGUUGUAAACCGCUUUCGCCUGUGACGAAGCGUGAGUGACGGUAAUGGGUAAAGAAGCACCGGCUAACUACGUG